Molecule: long non-coding RNA, 292 nt
Filed under: Helianthus annuus (common sunflower)
Lineage: Eukaryota; Viridiplantae; Streptophyta; Magnoliopsida; Asterales; Asteraceae
Description: sRNA HanXRQr2_Chr05g0221541
Source: RNAcentral
UUCUCCUUCAAUUUCAUAUAAGCGGCAAAAGAUUGAUAACCAGAUUCUUCACAUGGCUUCUUAAAACCAUUAUUUUGAUUCCACGCCGCUGUGUUCUCCAACAAUCCCUUCAAUAGCGGCUACACGAGAGGAUCCCUGAUUCCAGUCAAAUCAAGCAAUGACGUUCAACGAGCCGUGAAUGGAGCCGAGUAUCAGCUUCGUUAAAGCUCUCAGGCAAAUGCUGGAUUGGUGGUUGGAUAGCAUAAGAGGAAUGAGUUGAUCUACGGAAUGAUUCCGAUGUAGCGGUAUGUGU